CCCAACUUGACUCUCACUGGGAUUAAACAUGACAAUAGGUCUGAUCUGAUUUCAUCAUCAUUUAAAAAAAAAUCAUCUAUUAUUUUUCACUUUAUGUUUCUGUGUGGGAGCAAACUGUUGAAAUCCUUACUUAAGGUAUACUAAGCUGAUCUUCUGUAUAUUAAGAUAAUCGAAAAUGAAUCUUGAUUUGAAUGGAAGGGGAGAGGGAGUGGGAAAGGGGAGGGUUGUGGGUGGGAGGGACGGUAUGGGGGGGGAAGCCAUUGUAACCCAUGAGUCGUACUUUGGAAAUUUAUAUUCAUUAAAUAAAAGAUAAAAAAAAAAAAAAGAUUCAGUGUCUUGGAGCCAUGGUUGUAGGGGAGAAGGUAAAGCUGCUGCCUGCAAUGCUAGCUAGCAUCCCUACAUGAGCUUGUCUGCGUCCUUGCUGCUCCACUUUUGACCCAGCUCCCUAUACUGGCCUGGGAAAGCAGUGGAAGAUGGCCCAAGUGCUUGGGCUCUUGCCACCCAUGAGGGAGACCUGGAUGAAGCUCCCAGCUCCUGACCUUGGUUUGGCUUAGCCAUUGCCACCACAUGGAGAGUGAACUAGCAGAUGGACCAUCUCUCUCUCUCUCUCUCUGUCUCUCUCCCUCCCUCUAACCUUUUCCAAUAAAUAAACAUAUUUACAAAAAAAGAUUCAUUCACUGUCUCAGGCUGAGUGCCUAGAGGGCACAGCUGGGUGUCCCUCUAAUGUUCUUCUCCUGCCCUGGGAUCCGGCCCAGGACACACAUUGUGUUGGAUCACCAUGUCCCCCUGGUAUCCUCAGGACAGAGUCUGACACAGAAAUCCAAUUUUUCUCCACAGCUAACACCACCAGCAUGGGGGAAGCUGUGCCUGCCUCUCAGUUAUGUUGCAACCACUUACUGAGUUCCUACUAUAUGAGACAAGAUUUGAUGAGAUCCUUGCCCUGGAGAAGUGGGCCAGCUGGGGAUGGAUACAGGUUGCGUGGGCCACAGACCCAAUUAAUUUUUGGCAAAUUCAACACCUUUGUUGGAGUUGGAGUCAUGCG
Molecule: long non-coding RNA, 1042 nt
Filed under: Oryctolagus cuniculus (rabbit)
Lineage: Eukaryota; Metazoa; Chordata; Mammalia; Lagomorpha; Leporidae
Description: lncRNA (ENSOCUG00000039472.1)
Source: RNAcentral